AGAGGUAGGAAGGCUAAACUGAGGAAUUAUGUCUGACAGAAGGGAAGAAGAAGGUAAUGUGGAGUGGGUAGCCUCCAUACUGAUUAAGAAGGGUACAGACUUACCCUCCACUGUGAGAAUUACCUAAAGCUCGGUGUCUGUGAUGGUCUACAGGGCUUCCGAGGCGAUCAGGCAGUGGCAGUCUUCAGCUGCAAAGCCGAGAAGAUCUGGGAAGGAGUCAGUCAGGGAGCCUUGGGCCAGAGUUCCAGGGGCUCUAGGAGUGGCUGCCAGGUGAGUUGAACAGUCCGAUUUCUAGUGGGGUCCUGCACAGAUGGGACACGGCUUAGGAGGAAUCCUGGGCUGCGGGCAUUCCUUGGCCUGGUGGCCAGAUUUCUGGCACUUGUAGCAAGCUCCUGGGGGAGGUGGUUCCGGAGGAACGCCUGGCCACUGCGGUUUAGGCAUUUGGAAGUUCUUGUGUGCUGGAGAUGUGGCUGGGGUUUGUCUCACAGUGGAGGCAAGGAAUUGCAACUCAAAAAUAUGUUG
RNAcentral lists this long non-coding RNA (522 nucleotides) under Homo sapiens (human). RNAcentral describes it as "non-protein coding lnc-OR52J3-1:1". The record is from RNAcentral. Lineage: Eukaryota; Metazoa; Chordata; Mammalia; Primates; Hominidae.